Molecule: ribosomal RNA, 417 nt
Filed under: uncultured bacterium
Lineage: Bacteria
Description: bacterial SSU rRNA
Rfam family: Bacterial small subunit ribosomal RNA
Source: RNAcentral
GGUGUCAGCAGCCGCGGUAAUACGGAAGGGGCUAGCGUUGUUCGGAUUUACUGGGCGUAAAGCGCAUGUAGGCGGCGGAUCAAGUGGGGCGUGAAAGGCCUGGGCUCAACCUGGGAACGGCGCUUCAGACUGGUUUGCUCGAGUUCGGGAGAGGGUGGUGGAAUUCCCAGUGUAGAGGUGAAAUUCGUAGAUAUUGGGAGGAACACCGGUGGCGAAGGCGGCCACCUGGCCCGAGACUGACGCUCAAGUGCGAAAGCGUGGGGAGCAAACAGGAUUAGAUACCCUGGUAGUCCACGCUGUAAACGAUGGGUGCUAGAUGUCGGGGGGCUUGCCCUUCGGUGUCGCAGCUAACGCGUUAAGCACCCCGCCUGGGGAGUACGGCCGCAAGGUUAAAACUUAAAGGAAUUGGCGGGGGAU